Molecule: ribosomal RNA, 80 nt
Filed under: Jeotgalicoccus meleagridis
Lineage: Bacteria; Bacillati; Bacillota; Bacilli; Caryophanales; Staphylococcaceae
Source: RNAcentral
UGGCGGCGAUGGCGGAGAGGCCACACCUGUUCCCAUGUCGAACACAGUAGUUAAGCUCUCCAGCGCCGAUGGUAGUUGGA